RNAcentral lists this ribosomal RNA (253 nucleotides) under uncultured bacterium. RNAcentral's name for it is "partial 16S ribosomal RNA". It matches the Rfam family "Bacterial small subunit ribosomal RNA", at positions 524 to 776 of the family's 1533-position model. The record is from RNAcentral.
UACGUAGGGUGCGAGCGUUGUCCGGAAUUAUUGGGCGUAAAGGGCUCGUAGGCGGUUUGUCGCGUCGGGAGUGAAGACACCGGGCUUAACUCGGUGCUUGCUUUCGAUACGGGCAGACUAGAGGCAUGCAGGGGAGAACGGAAUUCCUGGUGUAGCGGUGAAAUGCGCAGAUAUCAGGAGGAACACCGGUGGCGAAGGCGGUUCUCUGGGCAUGUCCUGACGCUGAGGAGCGAAAGUGUGGGGAGCGAACAGG